Molecule: non-coding RNA, 824 nt
Organism: Lactuca sativa (garden lettuce)
Lineage: Eukaryota; Viridiplantae; Streptophyta; Magnoliopsida; Asterales; Asteraceae
Source: RefSeq, a predicted model, not a curated record
GUCAUUGUUCACUUUAGCCUUCUGAGAGAAACCCUAAAUCGAUUGUGUGCAUCUGGAGCAAGGUUAAAGGCCAUUGGUGAUUUUGAAGGAGUUGUUGUGCAAGGAAGAGAAGGGCUUGGCUAAAGGAACUGCAAGAGAGUCACGUUCUGAGGAUUGGGGACACAGAGAGUACAUCAUCCAGGGAGUUUGUAGCUCGGCGGAUCGAACACGAGUGAUUUCAGGAUUUGCUAGCUUUCAGUAUUCACGAGAGACAUCAUGGUUAGGCCACGCCACGGAGCGAGUUCGAGCGGUGUGAGUGAUGAGGAGAUUCGUCAGAUGAUUCACGAGGAGGUAGCUGCGGCGAUCCGGGCUGAGAUCCCGGAGAUGCUUGGGUCUAUUAAGACCACCCUGAUGGAGACGUUUGAGGAGCGGUACGCCGCAUUGACUGAAGCUGCAGCCGCUGCAGCUACCGCAGCUGUGGCCGCUGCCAGGCCACAGGGGGGUGACUCGUUGCUGUUCCGGGAGUUCAGCAACACGAAGCCACCUGAGUUCGAUGGGACGCAGGAUCCGAUUGCUGCGAUGAGGUGGAUCGCGGAUAUAGAGGGGUGCUUCUACACUUGUUCAUGCCCGGAGCACCUGAGGGUACGGUUCGCUUUGAACCAGCUCCGUCUGGGAGCGAAGGAUUGGUGGAAGUUCGUGACGGCGAACUUCACUUUGGCAGAGAUUACAGCAGUUACAUGGGAGGGGUUUACUGCUAUGUUCAGGGACGAGUACGUUCCCCCGGUGGAGAGGGAACGAUUGGUUCAGGAGUUCUUAACCCUCAAGCAGGGUACUGAUUCAGUUGC